Molecule: ribosomal RNA, 305 nt
Filed under: uncultured bacterium
Lineage: Bacteria
Description: bacterial SSU rRNA
Rfam family: Bacterial small subunit ribosomal RNA
Source: RNAcentral
GCCUACGGGGGGCAGCAGUGAGGAAUAUUGGUCAAUGGGCGGAAGCCUGAACCAGCCAAGUCGCGUGAGGGAAGAAGGCUCUGCGGGUCGCAGACCUCUUUGGACGGGGAGCAAGGCCGCCGACGUGUCGGCGGAAGGAGAGUACCCGUAGAACAAGCAUCGGCUAACUCCGUGCCAGCAGCCGCGGUAAUACGGAGGGGGCGAGCGUUGUUCGGAGUGACUGGGCGUAAAGAGCACGUAGGCGGUGUUGUAAGUCAUUAGUCAAAGACUAGAGCUCAACUUUAGUAAGGCUAGUGAUACUAUAA